Molecule: transfer RNA, 74 nt
Filed under: Marmota monax (woodchuck)
Lineage: Eukaryota; Metazoa; Chordata; Mammalia; Rodentia; Sciuridae
Description: tRNA.Ala
Rfam family: tRNA
About the family: Transfer RNA (tRNA) molecules are approximately 80 nucleotides in length.
Source: RNAcentral
UGGGGCUGUAGCUCAGUUGGUAGAGCAUUUACCUUGCAUGUCUGAGGCACUGGGUUUGAUCCUCAGCACCACAA